UGCAGUCGACGGUAACGGGCCUUCGGGUGCCGACGAGUGGCGAACGGGUGAGUAWUGCAUCGGAACGUACCUUUCAGUGGGGGAUAACGUAGCGAAAGUUACGCUAAUACCGCAUAUUCUGUGAGCAGGAAAGCAGGGGAUCGCAAGACCUUGCGCUGAUUGAGCGGCCGAUGUCAGAUUAGCUAGUUGGUGAGGUAAAGGCUCACCAAGGCGACGAUCUGUAGCGGGUCUGAGAGGAUGAUCCGCCACACUGGAACUGAGACACGGUCCAGACUCCUACGGGAGGCAGCAGUGGGGAAUUUUGGACAAUGGGGGCAACCCUGAUCCAGCCAUGCCGCGUGAGUGAAGAAGGCCUUCGGGUUGUAAAGCUCUUUCGGCCGGGAAGAAAUCGCAUGGGUUAAUACCCUGUGCGGAUGACGGUACCGGCAUAAGAAGCACCGGCUAACUACGUGCCAGCAGCCGCGGUAAUACGUAGGUGCGAGCGUUAAUCGGAAUUACUGGGCGUAAAGCGUGCGCAGGCGGUUUUGUAAGACAGGCGUGAAAUCCCCGGGCUCAACCUGGGAACUGCGCUUGUGACUGCAAGGCUAGAGUACGGCAGAGGGGGGUGGAAUUCCACGUGUAGCAGUGAAAUGCGUAGAGAUGUGGAGGAACACCAAUGGCGAAGGCAGCCCCCUGGGUCGAUACUGACGCUCAUGCACGAAAGCGUGGGUAGCAAACAGGAUUAGAUACCCUGGUAGUCCACGCCCUAAACGAUGUCAACUAGGUGUUGGGUGGGUAAAACCAUUUAGUACCGUAGCUAACGCGUGAAGUUGACCGCCUGGGGAGUACGGCCGCAAGGUUAAAACUCAAAGGAAUUGACGGGGACCCGCACAAGCGGUGGAUGAUGUGGAUUAAUUCGAUGCAACGCGAAAAACCUUACCUACCCUUGACAUGUCAGAAACUUGGCAGAGAUGCCUUGGUGCCCGAAAGGGAAUCUGAACACAGGUGCUGCAUGGCUGUCGUCAGCUCGUGUCGUGAGAUGUUGGGUUAAGUCCCGCAACGAGCGCAACCCUUGUCGUUAAUUGCCAUCAUUUAGUUGGGCACUUUAACGAGACUGCCGGUGACAAACCGGAGGAAGGUGGGGAUGACGUCAAGUCCUCAUGGCCCUUAUGGGUAGGGCUUCACACGUCAUACAAUGGUCGGUACAGARGGUUGCCAAGCCGCGAGGUGGAGCCAAUCCCAGAAAGCCGAUYGUAGUCCGGAUUGCAGGCUGCAACUCGCCUGCAUGAAGUCGGAAUCGCUAGUAAUCGCG
Molecule: ribosomal RNA, 1291 nt
Filed under: uncultured bacterium
Lineage: Bacteria
Description: bacterial SSU rRNA
Source: RNAcentral